RNAcentral lists this ribosomal RNA (747 nucleotides) under Cichlidogyrus attenboroughi. RNAcentral's name for it is "partial large subunit ribosomal RNA". It matches the Rfam family "Eukaryotic large subunit ribosomal RNA", at positions 74 to 617 of the family's 3401-position model. Lineage: Eukaryota; Metazoa; Platyhelminthes; Monogenea; Dactylogyridea; Ancyrocephalidae. The record is from RNAcentral.
AUUCUCCCAGUAACGGCGAGUGAACGGAGAUUAGCCCAUCACCGAAGCCUGCGUGUGUUUGCAUGCUAGGCAAUGUGGUGUUAAGGUGUGUACCUGGGAUCGUGUACCUACCCGAAGUCUAAAUCCGAUUGUGGCUUUGGAUUCAUUCCAUAGCGGGUGAAAGUCCCGUGCGGGUAGGCCUAUUGCAAAUCCACACGAUCCUCAGAUGUGCAUGCUAUCGAGUCGGAUUGCUUGAGAAUGCAGUCCAAAGUGGGUGGUAAACUCCAUCCAAGGCUAAAUACUGGCACGAGUCCGAUAGUAGACAAGUACCGUGAGGGAAAGUUGAAAAGUACUCUGAAGAGAGAGUAAAUAGUACGUGAAGCCGAUUGCAGGGAAGCUGGUGGAGUCAAGCUUCGUGCUUGAGGGAUUGAUGCUGGGAGCAGGUGUGUGAAUUGUAUGUGAGAUUGGACAACUUGGAAUAAGUUGGGCGUGUUCUGAACGCGCUUCGAGUCAUUCCGGGUAGAGUGUUAUGAGCCAUUCUCGCUUUACUACUCUCAGUGUUGUAUCCCUCGCUGCACAGGCCACAGUCAAUAGGUGCAUGCAGUGUGAAGGCCUAACUGUGCUUCGGCGGGUGCAAGCUCUCCGGGUGCAGGAUGGCAGGUGCUGUCCUCAGGCCUUGUGUCUGUUGAUAGUUGUUGUGGUUUCGACCGGCUGGUCUCCAUACUGUAUUGUGCUUAUUGCCUAUCAAUGGCGCAGUUUCCUUGGAAG